RNAcentral lists this ribosomal RNA (253 nucleotides) under Blautia schinkii. RNAcentral's name for it is "partial 16S ribosomal RNA". It matches the Rfam family "Bacterial small subunit ribosomal RNA", at positions 524 to 776 of the family's 1533-position model. Lineage: Bacteria; Bacillati; Bacillota; Clostridia; Lachnospirales; Lachnospiraceae. The record is from RNAcentral.
UACGUAGGGGGCAAGCGUUAUCCGGAUUUACUGGGUGUAAAGGGAGCGUAGACGGCUUUGCAAGUCUGAUGUGAAAGGCAGGGGCUCAACCCCUGGACUGCAUUGGAAACUGUGAGGCUUGAGUGCCGGAGAGGUAAGCGGAAUUCCUAGUGUAGCGGUGAAAUGCGUAGAUAUUAGGAGGAACACCAGUGGCGAAGGCGGCUUACUGGACGGUAACUGACGUUGAGGCUCGAAAGCGUGGGGAGCAAACAGG